CCAACCUCUGUUAGUCUUCCUUCCGCCCGCCCGGGGGCAAUCUCCUUUUCAGUCUAGGCUGAAAACAACAACAACAAAAAAACCCUGGCCCCUAGGGGCAGGGGAGACAGCACAAAGAGGGAGCCCCAGGUCCCUGAAUCACCUGCACCAGACUUGUCAUAUAUUUCUGUGAGGUAUAUUUAAUCAAGCCAAGAAGCUAAGCUAAGGAAGUUUCUUUCUAUUUCGAGACUGUUAAGAGUACCAGAGGACAUGGAAUUUAUCACACGCUCUUUCAGCUUGUGAAGAUGACUAUAUAAUUCUGUUAAUUUCGUGAGCUACAGUGAGUUACUCUUGACUCAAUCUUGCAUGUUUUCAUAUAAAUCUUACUUGAAAAUGAUGUCUCUUUUACUACACUGCUGAAUGCAAACUGCUAGUUUUAUUUUGGAUUUUUGCACCUACAUUAAUUGAAUUUGGCUUAGUUUUCCUUGUGCUUUAUUUG
Molecule: long non-coding RNA, 478 nt
Filed under: Callithrix jacchus (white-tufted-ear marmoset)
Lineage: Eukaryota; Metazoa; Chordata; Mammalia; Primates; Cebidae
Description: lncRNA (ENSCJAG00000082779.1)
Source: RNAcentral